Molecule: small nucleolar RNA, 103 nt
Organism: Chaetomium globosum CBS 148.51
Lineage: Eukaryota; Fungi; Ascomycota; Sordariomycetes; Sordariales; Chaetomiaceae
Rfam family: Small nucleolar RNA Z13/snr52
About the family: Z13 or snr52 is a member of the C/D class of snoRNA which contain the C (UGAUGA) and D (CUGA) box motifs. Most of the members of the box C/D family function in directing site-specific 2'-O-methylation of substrate RNAs.
Source: Rfam
CGGCCCUUCAUGAUGAACUAUUUCGGAUGUAAAACUUUACUUGUCUGAAAAGCGCAAACAAACAAUGUUGAGAUUUCCGUUGCCUUCCUUCUGAUCAAUGGCC